UCCUAUUCGUCCUAUGACGUCUAGUUGUACCUGUCCCCAUGUGGAUUUACCUCUCCGUUGGUCUUGGUAAACGUCGAGUUUUUCCUAUUCGUCUUAUGACGUCUAGUUGUACCUGUCCCCAUGUGGAUUUACCUCUCCGUUGGUCUUGGUAAACGUUGAGUUUUUCCCAUUUCGUCCGUUGACGUAUGAUUGUAUCUCUUCCAGUCAUUCAUUAAUGUCUG
RNAcentral lists this long non-coding RNA (221 nucleotides) under Lathyrus oleraceus (garden pea). Its description in RNAcentral is "Pisum sativum (pea) long non-coding RNA (PSAT_LNC025187)". Lineage: Eukaryota; Viridiplantae; Streptophyta; Magnoliopsida; Fabales; Fabaceae. The record is from RNAcentral.